UGGGGAAUAUUGCACAAUGGGCGCAAGCCUGAUGCAGCCAUGCCGCGUGUGUGAAGAAGGCCUUCGGGUUGUAAAGCACUUUCAGCGAGGAGGAAGGUGGUGAACUUAAUACGUUCAUCAAUUGACGUUACUCGCAGAAGAAGCACCGGCUAACUCCGUGCCAGCAGCCGCGGUAAUACGGAGGGUGCAAGCGUUAAUCGGAAUUACUGGGCGUAAAGCGCACGCAGGCGGUUUGUUAAGUCAGAUGUGAAAUCCCCGGGCUCAACCUGGGAACUGCAUUUGAAACCGGCAAGCUAGAGUCUCGUAGAGGGGGGUAGAAUUCCAGGUGUAGCGGUGAAAUGCGUAGAGAUCUGGAGGAAUACCGGUGGCGAAGGCGGCCCCCUGGACGAAGACUGACGCUCAGGUGCGAAAGCGUGGGGAGCAAAACAGGAUUAGAUACCCUGGUAGUCCACGCUGUAAAACGAUGUCGAUUUUGGAGGUUGUGCCCUUGAGGCGUGGCUUCCGGAGCUAACGCGUU
RNAcentral lists this ribosomal RNA (517 nucleotides) under uncultured bacterium. Its description in RNAcentral is "partial 16S ribosomal RNA". It matches the Rfam family "Bacterial small subunit ribosomal RNA", at positions 355 to 861 of the family's 1533-position model. The record is from RNAcentral.